CAGAUUGGGAUACUCUUCAAAUAAUUAUGAAAUGCCGAGUCAGGUAUCAUUGUCAAUGGCGGGCCUCAACCCCUUGGGGUGUCUUCUGCGACCGGAGGAUUACAAAGAUUCUGAUACUCUCAAAUCCUGUCUUUUCGGAGUUUCAUCCAUCAUCCUUUGAUGUGGCUUC
RNAcentral lists this small RNA (169 nucleotides) under bovine gut metagenome. RNAcentral's name for it is "Bacteroidales-1 6S-Bacteroidales RNA suggested". It matches the Rfam family "Bacteroidales-1 6S-Bacteroidales RNA suggested", at positions 15 to 175 of the family's 179-position model. The record is from RNAcentral.